AGCGAACGCUGGCGGCAUGCCUAACACAUGCAAGUCGCACGGGGGGGCUUCGGCCUCCCAGUGGCGGACGGGUGAGGAACGCGUAGGGACCUGUCGAGGGGUGGGGGAUAACCGCGGGAAACUGCGGCUAAUACCGCAUGACGCCGCGGCGUGACAGCCGGGGCCAAAGGCGAAAGCCGCCCGCCGAGGGGCCUGCGUCCGAUUAGCUGGUUGGCGGGGUAGCGGCCCACCAAGGCGUCGAUCGGUAGCUGGUCUGAGAGGGUGAUCAGCCACACCGGGACUGAGACACGGCCCGGACUCCUACGGGAGGCAGCAGUGGGGAAGAUUGGACAAUGGGCGCAAGCCUGAUCCAGCAAUGCCGCGUGGGUGAAGAAGGUCUUCGGAUUGUAAAGCCCUUUCGGCGGGGACGAUGGUGACGGUACCCGCAGAAGAAGCCCCGGCUAACUUCGUG
Molecule: ribosomal RNA, 451 nt
Filed under: uncultured bacterium
Lineage: Bacteria
Description: partial 16S ribosomal RNA
Rfam family: Bacterial small subunit ribosomal RNA
Source: RNAcentral